Molecule: ribosomal RNA, 496 nt
Filed under: uncultured bacterium
Lineage: Bacteria
Description: partial 16S ribosomal RNA
Rfam family: Bacterial small subunit ribosomal RNA
Source: RNAcentral
AUGAACGCUGGCGGCGUGCCUAAUACAUGCAAGUCGAGCGAACAGACGAGGAGCUUGCUCCUCUGACGUUAGCGGCGGACGGGUGAGUAACACGUGGAUAACCUACCUAUAAGACUGGGAUAACUUCGGGAAACCGGAGCUAAUACCGGAUAAUAUAUUGAACCGCAUGGUUCAAUAGUGAAAGACGGUUUUGCUGUCACUUCUAGAUGUAUCCGCGCCGCAUUAGCUAGUUGGUAAGGUAACGGCUUACCAAGGCAACGAUGCGUAGCCGACCUGAGAGGGUGAUCGGCCACACUGGAACUGAGACACGGUCCAGACUCCUACGGGAGGCAGCAGUAGGGAAUCUUCCGCAAUGGGCGAAAGCCUGACGGAGCAACGCCGCGUGAGUGAUGAAGGUCUUCGGAUCGUAAAACUCUGUUAUUAGGGAAGAACAAAUGUGUAAGUAACUAUGCACGUCUUGACGGUACCUAAUCAGAAAGCCACGGCUAACUACGUG